AACUGGGAUUAGAUACCCCACUAUGCUCAGCCAAAAACAAUGACAUCCACUUACAAAAGUUGUCCGCCCGGGAACUACAAGCAUAAGCUUAAAACCCAAAGGACUUGGCGGUGCUUAAGAUCCCCCUAGAGGAGCCUGUUCUAGAACCGAUGAUCCCCGUUAAACCUCACCCCCCCUUGCCAACUCCGUCUAUAUACCUCCGUCGUCAGCUCACCCCGUGAGGGCACUAAAGUGAGCAUAAUUGCAUAGCCCAAAACGUCAGGUCGAGGUGUAGCCUACGGGGGGGGAAGAAAUGGGCUACAUUCUCUCCCAGAGAGUACACGAAAGAUGGACUGAAAACCCCAUCAAAAGGAGGAUUUAGCAGUAAGGGGAGAACAGAGCGCACCCCUGAAACUGGCCCUAAAGCGCGCAGGGAGAGUGACGGGCGGUGUG
Molecule: ribosomal RNA, 432 nt
Filed under: Lepadogaster lepadogaster (shore clingfish)
Lineage: Eukaryota; Metazoa; Chordata; Actinopteri; Blenniiformes; Gobiesocidae
Description: partial 12S ribosomal RNA
Rfam family: Bacterial small subunit ribosomal RNA
Source: RNAcentral